Molecule: long non-coding RNA, 1814 nt
Filed under: Gossypium barbadense (sea-island cotton)
Lineage: Eukaryota; Viridiplantae; Streptophyta; Magnoliopsida; Malvales; Malvaceae
Description: long non-coding RNA (GBAR_LNC013692)
Source: RNAcentral
CAUCCUUUGCGUUUAAACAAUUGACUGAGAUAGUCAUACUUAUUCUAUAAGCUAAAUUACAUAUGUACCAAAAAAGAAAUUAAUGAAAUUCAAACUGCAUAAAUCCAAUCCAAAAUCUUAAAUAGAAGCAUCUUUAUUUCUCAAUCCCAUUAUUUUCCUACUAGUAGAUAAGCAAGUUUAGCUUACGGGAAAAUCUGCUAAUCUGCAAAAUAUUGUACAAAGUAAAAUAAAGGAAAAUCAAAUUAAAUUAAAUUGUAAAAAGAAAAUGUAAAUGAAAGCUUACAGGAAAGGAAGCUAAGGUAAGCCAAAUCGAUUUCAAUGUCGAUUGUUUCUGCAAUAAAACAAAGCAAAAAAAAAAAAAAGAUGAGAUUAAAACUAAAUGAAUAAACUAAGCUUGUAAUCUUAGUAAACAUUAUAAUAAAUUCAUUAAACUCGAAUCCUAUGCAAUUUCAAAAUUCUGAUAACUUUAUUUCCAGAUAUAAACAUAUAAACAAACAUUUACCACUUAAUUAUUUGAUUGAAUCAUAGAUUAACAGAAAGCUAAUUGACAAAUUUCAUAUAAACUUUUAUUAUAGAUUAACAGACAUAAAUGGAAGGGAAUAUAUAUGUAUAUAUUUCAACAACACUUUUAUUAUACACUUCUAUAAACUUAGACAGAAACAAACAGAAAAUAAGACCCUCAUAAUGGAAAAAUCUUCAUAAUUGAAUUAAACCCAAAAGUUCGAAACAACUAUUCCCCAAGAAUUACAUGACUUAACCAACUAUUCCCCAGGAAUUACAUAAAGCACUACAAGAUGAAUCACUCAAGCACACUAUAAUAAUCCAUAAACAUAAUCUUUAAGAGCUAUGCAAAAUCUUAUAGCAUGCUAAUUAUACCUAAAAACAUGUUUACAACAUAAUCAACUUCCAAGACCUAUCCACGAAUCAACAGCAACAUGAUUUUUCAUUUUGCAUUUCAGGAAACAUCAUCAAUCACUUAUUUUUCUUCUCUUUUUCCUUCGAACUUUUACCCAUUUUUUUAGCUUCAAAUUCAUCACCAAAAUAAUAAAUUAAGCAACAAUAAAAAUAAAUUUUAAAUAUAUUGAAAUGAUGCAAUUUGAUAGAAACAAACAGAGCCUGAAGAAGUUGAAAGAAGUAAGAAUGUUAGAUUAGAUUUCCAUUUUUAAUUCAAACUGUUUCUAAGAAAAAGGAAGAAUUGUAUUAAAUAUCCUCCAUUGACAUGACUCACUCGUCACUACUGACUCUACCCUCUAAUAUUUUCAUAGUAUCAACCACUAAAUACAUUAAGCGUGGGUAAUCUGCAGAAUCAUCUUGAAACAAAAAUUAAGUAAACAAAACACAUCAUGCCUGUAUGUUUUGUAACUAAAAUUAAGCGAAUCAUCUUGAGAGGUAAAAGAGUAGGUAAUCUGUAGAAAGUGGGAACUUAGCAUUAUCUACUCUUGAUUUCAGUCUGCAUUUCAGGUAAGCUUUUUGAUGCUUUAAUGCGUUUUAUUUUACAUUUGGUAUUUAUGUUAUUGCUGUUUUGAUGCAUAAAUUCAUUGAAAGAACAAUUGUGUUUAAUAAAGAGAAUGAAAACGAGGAAACUGAAGAAGAUGAGCAAACCCGUACCUGUACCAAACUCCUCGUUCUUGUAUGCUUGCUUCUCCUUGACGAUUCAGGAAUAAACAAACCGACCGGAGGUAGAUCGGUGGAGGUCUUGACGGUGGAAGACUCAGUCGAUUUUGGAAAUGGGAAAAAAAGGCAGUCGCACGGCACAAUAGAUAGGGUUAGGGAUUUUGUCUCUAUCAGUGUCAAGGAAAUGAAAGUAAUUGAAA